RNAcentral lists this ribosomal RNA (83 nucleotides) under Epichloe typhina. Lineage: Eukaryota; Fungi; Ascomycota; Sordariomycetes; Hypocreales; Clavicipitaceae. The record is from RNAcentral.
CUACCAGAAAAUUCGGGAUCCCGUCCGCUCUCCCAUAGUCAAGCUAGUAAGGGGCAGAUUAGUAGUUGGGUCGGUGACGACCA